Molecule: long non-coding RNA, 461 nt
Filed under: Ananas comosus (pineapple)
Lineage: Eukaryota; Viridiplantae; Streptophyta; Magnoliopsida; Poales; Bromeliaceae
Description: long non-coding RNA (ACOM_LNC002217)
Source: RNAcentral
CUGAUACCACUUGUUGGAAACUGGAUAGAUCGUUCGUCAUGCGCUACCAACAAAGAUGCACGAAAAAAUAGAGAAAACACCGAACGAACGGUAAAAGAAAUAAAUGUAGAAAGAAAAAAAAUCAAGAUUUACGUGGUUCGACAAUUGCCUACGUCCACAAGGAGAACGAGAGAGAUGUAUUCCACUAUAUGAAGAAAUAGAAGUACAAGCUUACACCAUAUGUCUUCUCCGGAUAAAAACCAAGAACCUUAUGGUGAAUCCCACCUUUUUCUUGUUCCAACUAAAACUCCAAGAAAAUACCGAAAAAAGUUUUUCGUAAAACCGAGAAGAUCAAAUUAGAGAAGUAUAGAAACUCUAACCAAAUUCCUUUAUGCCGUUACUUCGAAGAAUCCGAACCACUCAGGCAAUUGGUUGAGAACCACCGAUCUGCCGCCAACGACAAUUCGUCGUUGCAUGCGGAA